This 423-nucleotide ribosomal RNA is filed under the name uncultured prokaryote. Its description in RNAcentral is "bacterial SSU rRNA". It matches the Rfam family "Bacterial small subunit ribosomal RNA", at positions 355 to 774 of the family's 1533-position model. The record is from RNAcentral.
UGAGGAAUAUUGGUCAAUGGGCGCAAGCCUGAACCAGCCAUCCCGCGUGCAGGAAGACGGCCCUAUGGGUUGUAAACUGCUUUUCCAGGGGGAGAAACUUGCGCACGUGUUGCGCAAUUGACGGUACCCUGGGAAUAAGCAUCGGCUAACUCCGUGCCAGCAGCCGCGGUAAUACGGAGGAUGCGAGCGUUAUCCGGAUUCAUUGGGUUUAAAGGGUGCGUAGGCGGACUAUUAAGUCAGUGGUGAAAUCCUGCAGCUUAACUGCAGAACGGCCAUGGAUACUGAGAGCCUUGAGUUUGGUUAAGGUAGGCGGAAUGUGUAAUGUAGCGGUGAAAUGCUUAGAUAUUACACAGAACACCAAUUGCGUAGGCAGCUUACUGAGCCGACACUGACGCUGAGGCACGAAAGCGUGGGGAUCGAACA